AAGAAAUGGAAGAAUGAUAAUUACUAGGUAAUAAAACUGUUGGUCUUCUGCUUACAGCUACCUGUACUGUGUGUAUUCAGGUGUGAAAGCUUCUUUAUUGAUCGGAAAUGAAAAUGAAAUUGAAAUAUUAAUGUUUUGCAAUGCAGUUUAUUUCCUUAAUGAUAAAAGCUUAAAAGUGGAUUCAGCUACAAAUGGGAAGUUAAAUCUGAUAUAUUGUGUAAAGAAAGUGCUAUCCUUUAUGCAUAUUAAGAACCACCCCAACAACUCUUUGGGGGAUCCAUUGAUGGCAUGUUGCAAGGUCAAAUUUCUAUCCCUAUCCAAUAUACCCUCAUUUUCCAGUGGCAGUCUAAAUGUUCCCAACCUUCAUCUGGAACAGCUUCUAUUACAGGACCUACCUAUCAUAUUUAUAAGUUAUCGUUGGUCAUCUCAACGAGAAUGAUUUUCUUGCUUGAGCAGCUAUGGCAAAAGUAACAAAAGCAAUAGAUGCUGAGAUGACCAAUGAUAAUCUGUUUAUCGCUAUUUUACGGCUUUGUUAAUUUCAUUGACAAUGGCAAGUGUGCCCUUAGUUUCUAUCUAUAAUUUUUCAUAUCACUCUACUGUGAAGAGAAAGCAAAUUGUCAGUCAGUAAAAUCAAAGGAAAAUUUCAUAAAAUAGUGAUAGUUACUGUAAAUUUGUUCUCAUCCUGAACAUGCAUGAACUAUUUGUUACUGGACAUUGAGCAAUCAACAAUCAUCAAUCAACUGUAAGAUUGAUAUUUGUAUUGUUUAAACACUUGUAAAGAAAUGUUUGGGUUUGUAUAAAUUACUUUACUUUACCUUUGUAGGUGAGAAAAACAGAUUUAGAGAUCAGGAUGGUUUCUUUAAUAAAAUCUUGUCUUUAAUUUCAAUAUUUGAACUAAAAUUAAAAUUCAACCAACAACUCAAAAUAAGCUUCGACUGAUUUGUGAAAAAUGAAAGCCAAAUACAGUGAAACCUGGGUAAACCGAACCCUGAUAAAACCGAAUUUCAGUUUAAACCGAACAAUUUUCAAAGUCCCACACAAUUUCCCUAUCAAUUUGCUUUAAUUUAACCUGAUAAUACAGAACCCUGUCAACACCGAAUUCCGAACGCUUUUUGAAGGCUCGUUAGUAAAUUUGUAUUUAAAAACUACCUGUCAAAAUCGGUCGAUAGCAAUCAAAACAAAAAAUAUUUUUAAUUACUUGCAUGAUUUAAUUAAAUAAACACAGGAUGACCCCGAGGGUAUUGAGGUUAAAUCAACUAAUGAGUUGUUAUUUCAAACUAAUUAGCAUGUUUGUGUCCAUGCAUUCAGUGAUCAAAUGAUUUUUUUGUGUGAAGAAACGUUAAACUGCCCCGAUCGCCGAAAAGGGCAAGAAAGGAACUUUCCCUGAGAUCAAUCAAGUGCACGUUACUCAACUAUCUCCGACGCAAAUAAUUACGGCCACAAAAUCGUAACUGCCAUUCUAUAGUUAAACUGUUUAAAUAAAUAAUAGUUUUAAAGCCAUUUACUGGAUUAAGAAGUCAUGCAACACAACAAUGUCAAUUGCUUUCGAAUCAUGUUUACGGGAUGUCGGAUUUCCUUUAGAAGCCCUAUAUAUAAUUCAGAUGCUUCUGUAGAUUUCCGUUAGCUAUUUAGCAACGAUAAAGUCCGAGAGUAAACUGGACACCUGCUGCUGUUUCAAUCAUCUUGUGGCGAAGUAUCAAUCAGCGGGGACCAGUUUAGUCUGAGAACUUGUGUGCACAGAUAAUUGAAAAUGACGACCUCAAUUCAACUUCGGAAUUGUCAUUUGACAGAGACUUGGAAUCUGAAUUGAUCAGUAAAUUAAGCAAAAUCGAUACAAUUCGGACAUCAUUGAACGAUUUAUAGUUUCACAACGACGGGCGUGUUUGACAGAGUGGCGUUUGAUUUAUAUAUAAAAAAAAUGUAGCAAUACGUAUGGGUCUAUCUUCAUCUACUUAUAUUUUUACAUUUAAAUCAAAAUCAACACAAAAAUAAAAUUAUGAUCUGUUGUGUUACCUAUUAUCCCUUGUCAGUAAGUGCCAAAAUUAUUUGAAUGUCGACUUCCGUUUACCUCUACAAUCCGAACACCUGUGAAAAAAGAACAAAACGGAAAGUCCUGUGGGUGUUCGGUUUGGACAGGUUUCACUGUAUAUGAUUAACUCUUAUUAAAAACAGUUUUAAUGAUUGUUAAAUUUGUUAUAUUACUUUUGCAGAUGAGUAAAUGUUUCAUCAGUGUAUAUCUAGUUAACGUGUUAUCAUGGUUAUGGCACAUUCAGUCAAGGGCACACAGCUAUUACAUGUGAAGGACCAAUAUCUAGCAGCUUAACAAGUCAUCUGAUGUCUCAUUGGAUAGAAAACUAGACUAAGAUGUCAUCUGUCAUUUCAUUGGUUACACAAUAUUCUUUUGUGAGUCAUCACAUAAGACAUCAAGGUUCUUCCAGAGAUAUAUCAAGCUACCAUGAAAACCAAUCCUGGCAUAGUGUUAGAUGUUAGGAGAGAAAUUUGUUCAUGUUUAAGUCACUUUAUCUACAGCCAAACAAAUGUUUCAUUAUGAAUGCUUGUUUUGGUCAACUUUUCUGUAAAAAAAAUUCUGCUACAUACUCGCAACUUCAAUCGACUUAUUAUUAUUAAUAGUAAGUCUUGGUUACAGAAACUAACCAGGCUAUCUAAACAAAGGUCAAACAGGGGACCAGAUGAACAAUAAAUUAUUCACCUGUGUCAUAGUAUUUAUAGAUUUAUUAGUUGUUCGAGUAUAUGACAUAUGUUAAAAUAACUUCUCCUGCUUUAAAAGGAACAACAUCAUCUUGAAAUAUAUUCAAAUCAUAUUAUGCCAAAGAACCAUAGUGUCUUUCUGGUCUAACAUGUGUUUGUUGGUUUCUGUCUCCUUGACAUUUACCCCACAUGUCCCUUUAAUCGUUUUCCAUAUAUUUGAAGUACUGUUUACCUUUUCAUUAAUUCAGAUUACAAUGUUAUUUACGUCUUUGGUAUUGCAUGUUUUUUAUAAAAACACAUCUACGCUUAAAUGCUGAAAUUUUAAUUAUAAACAGGAAACAAGGCAAGGUAUUGUGAUCACUUAAAGUAAUUACAUGUUAGGGGGUUUGAGCAGUCCUGAUGAAGGAAGGCAAAACCAAAAAAGUACUGCACAUGAAAUCUAUAAGAUAUUGUUUUCAUUUAAUUUAAUUAUCUUCAUGAUUUAGGUAGUCCAACAACAACUCAUUUAUUGUAUGAAAAUUGUGAGGACGAGGGCAUAGGGGAAUAAAAAACAAAUUGGGUAUAAAGCAAGUAUUUUUUUUAUAACAAUUUUUUGCUGUUUCAAAAUCUAAUGCAUUUUGGGUAAUAUUUUCAAAAAAGUGUGCACCAAAACGAUGCGAC
Molecule: long non-coding RNA, 3369 nt
Filed under: Mytilus galloprovincialis (Mediterranean mussel)
Lineage: Eukaryota; Metazoa; Mollusca; Bivalvia; Mytilida; Mytilidae
Source: RNAcentral